Molecule: small nucleolar RNA, 132 nt
Organism: Tursiops truncatus (common bottlenose dolphin)
Lineage: Eukaryota; Metazoa; Chordata; Mammalia; Artiodactyla; Delphinidae
Gene: SNORA72
Rfam family: Small nucleolar RNA SNORA72
About the family: U72 is a member of the H/ACA class of snoRNAs. The snoRNA gene is located in intron 4 of the ribosomal L30 protein gene in human, mouse and chicken.
Source: Ensembl
CUGUGAGUAUUCUCGCUAUUCUGAUUUUGUAAUAAUCAGGGCAGGCUAAACGUUUGCAAUAUGAAGACCAUGCAUAUGUCCCCAGACCUAGUUCUUUCCCUAGGUCUAGUUCUAUAAAUGCUGAUGAUAACC